Molecule: transfer RNA, 74 nt
Filed under: Parascardovia denticolens IPLA 20019
Lineage: Bacteria; Bacillati; Actinomycetota; Actinomycetes; Bifidobacteriales; Bifidobacteriaceae
Description: tRNA-Gln
Rfam family: tRNA
About the family: Transfer RNA (tRNA) molecules are approximately 80 nucleotides in length. Their secondary structure includes four short double-helical elements and three loops (D, anti-codon, and T loops).
Source: RNAcentral
UCUCCAAUCGUCUAACGGCAGGACAUGGGACCUUGAAUCCCAUGACGAAGGUUCGAAUCCUUCUUGGAGAGCCA